Long non-coding RNA from Sander lucioperca (pikeperch), 415 nucleotides. RefSeq lists it as uncharacterized. The transcript is spliced from 3 exons. The record is from RefSeq and is a predicted model, not a curated record. Lineage: Eukaryota; Metazoa; Chordata; Actinopteri; Perciformes; Percidae.
CAUGUUGGAUUUUAAAUAGGAUUGGGCAUUGAGAACCAGUUCCAACUUGGAAUUGUUUAAAAAAUUACAAUUCCAAUGAAAUCUUUAUUAGAAACGUUUGAAAUCGUUUUGAAUCUGAUCAUUGGUUCCAAAUUUAACACGCAUGUUUUGGUUUCCGUGGCGGCCACCGUACUUCCAGGCGCUUGUUGUGUUGCAGCAAUGGAGCACAGUAAGCGGCACUCCAAAGUGUGGUUUUAUUUUACGUUGAAAAGCCUGGUAAAACUGUAAAUCACCAUUGAAUUAAAAUAAAAUGGUCCUCUUAUCUGUGAAAUAAGCAUGUGACCCAUUUCAGCUCCACCCCUCAAAUAAUCAGACUCGAGAAUCGGUAAGAACCGGAAUCAAAAGUAAGAAUUGGAAUAGUUAAAAUCAAAACGAU